RNAcentral lists this unclassified non-coding RNA (310 nucleotides) under plant metagenome. RNAcentral describes it as "partial contains 5.8S ribosomal RNA, internal transcribed spacer 2, and large subunit ribosomal RNA". The stretch from base 1 to 105 matches the Rfam family "5.8S ribosomal RNA", at positions 50 to 154 of the family's 154-position model. The record is from RNAcentral.
GAAAUGCGAUAAGUAGUGUGAAUUGCAGAAUUCAGUGAAUCAUCGAAUCUUUGAACGCACAUUGCGCCCCUUGGUAUUCCAUGGGGCACGCCUGUUCGAGCGUCAUUUGUACCCUCAAGCUCUGCUUGGUGUUGGGUGUUUGUCCCCGUCUCCGCGCGUGGACUCGCCCCAAAGUGAUUGGCAGCCGGCGUACUGGUCCCGGAGCGCAGCACAUGUCGCGCAAACGAGUGCCUUGGUACGGCGGCGUCCAUAAGCCCCUCUCUCACGCUCUUGACCUCGGAUCAGGUAGGGAUACCCGCUGAACUUAAGC